CAGUUUUCCAAAUUCAUUACUGUUUUUAUGUUAUUUAGUUAUUUAAUACAGAGAACACAUGUGUUUCUUCAAUCUGUACUGUAGAACGUAUCCAAUAAUACAAUCUUUAAAAUGUGCUGCUAUUUAGUUUGCGAAAUACCUGGAAUACGGAAUAGACUUAUUUUUUAUAGAAGUUAUAUGAUAACAGUGUGGGAAUUAUGUAGAAGGGAACAUCUGAUUUUAUUUUUCUACUCCUUCCCCACGUGGUUGUCGGGGCGGUCGCAUCACCAACUGGCCAGACUUCUAAUUUUGCAUAAAGUAAAUUGACUGGCUCUGGUUCUACUUCACUUGAGCGAAAGCUUAACCUGAGUGAUCAGACACAGCUUCACUCAUAUAAUUCCAAAUUUCUCACAGCUGGUUAGAAUACCCAGAGUCAGAACUGAGCGCAGUGCGGAGCUCUGCGUGUUACAAACUCUUGAUCUCUGCAGCCAGCGCGACAAAUUCAUUUAAAAAAAGUAAUCUUACAUUUUUUCUAACAUUUGUUUAAAGUUCCGAAGUCAAAAGUUACAAAGACAUUCCUCCAGAAGGAAAGAUAUCAGCGCCAGUUUAUCCUGAAAUCACCGCAAUGAUGGAUUCUACAGAGAAAUUAAACGGAGAAAAAAACGCAGAGAUUCACAAAAGUGCCCACAGAUCUCUCCUGUUUAGAUGUUUGGUGGCGCUACCUACAGUUCUGUGUUUCAUAUUAUCGCUGAGCUCCUUAGCAUUUUGUUUUUUUGUGAGUUUCAAAGCAUACCAGUUGGAAAACAGGGUGAACGAUUUGGAGAUGGAAAAAAGAUCUGUAUUUCAUCCUUCAGAAACCACAAUCAUCGGAGAAGAUGGAAACGUAUUACCUGUACUUCAAGAUACGAUUGAAAGACUCAUACAAGAGAGGUUAAAUGAAGCGAUGCCUAAGCUACGACCUGUAAGAGAUGUGGACCGAGAGUGUUCCUGCCCUCCAGGUACUGUAUGUCAAAUGUUAUGGGCUUGGUGUGCUAGUUGUAUUCUAGACACCAACUGGUGUUUGUUUAAUGGUGAGGCAGACAGGUGGCGUGAAUUCAGCAGUAUACAGUAGAUGGUGAAUUAUUUCUGAUACAGUUAAAAAGGAAUCAGAUACCAUUCCAAACAUUUAAAACCACAAAUUACAUGGCCAUUGGCAAUUCCAGCUCUAUCUCUACCCAGUUCUAUCAGUAACUUGCCUUAAUGCUGUGAUAAUGUCAAUGGAGAUGGAGACUUUUGUUAGCUGAGAAAUAAUGUAAGUCUGAAGAAUUUUAUUAUUUUUACUUUCUUUGUAUGGGAUGAUUUGGCAAAGAAAAGGUGAAGUUUUAAAUAACUUGUUUUUUUAGAGUAAUUCAUAUCUGGGAAUGAAGGGCAGAUGUUAUGGAGUAAUUUGCCUCCGUUGUCUAGCACUGAUUGUUCAUUUGGAGUCAAAAUUCCUUGGGUCCUCAUUCUUAAUUUACCUGUGAAGAGUCACUGACAGACAAUGAAAUACCUAAUAGGGAAAAAAUGCACUCUGAGAUGCUAUAUUUUUAGUUACAUUUACAUUUUAUAUUCUGCUUUUAUAGAGAUGAGGUUGAAGGCCAACAAUUUAACAUGAACGGCCAUUUCUUUCCUAUUUGUGUAUGGUCAUUUUAUCAUAAAUCAGAAAUCUUUGUGAAAAGAUUAAUAUUUUUAGAAGAAUUGCAGUACUCAUUCAAGAUGUGGUUUAUUGUAUGUGAGAGUACACAUCAGUGAGCCAGAGCCAGAACUCUAGGGCACAGGGGACAAGUCAGAGAUGCCAGCCUGUGAUGGGGCACUCAAUAUACCAAUUUUAUAACUAUAACUUGGUGAGAGGUUUUUAAGGAAAGUUCAUACUUACGUGUACAUCUGUCAUUUAUACAAACCAAUUUGUGCAUUAGCACAUUAUAUUGAAUGCUUCUGUAGUCAUUACAGGAUCACAACACAAAAUCUCUUCUAUGCAUUCUAUACAAAAAUAACUCAAAUGAAAAAAACAGGCACAUUUUGAUAUUUAUUGCAACUUUAACAGUUGUACUGAAUAAUUUGAAAGUUGAUAUUCCUGUUAUUGGAAUGUUGGCACACUACCCUGUACAAUUGGAGUGUGAUCAUUUUUUUGCAUGAUGUACAACUUUUGUAAGUCAAAAGGGCAAUCUAUGCCGUUCCAUUAAAAACAAAAUGUUCAAACAGGUUGUUUAAGUGUGUCUUUUAUUUUCAAUAGUAAUUAUGAUAAUUCCAUCCUUCAUGCUGUUAAGUUGAGUUUGUGCAAUGAAACAGCUUGUGACUAAAUCCCCUGGCUGUCAGAUAAGAAGGUGGAGGUGUUCUCUGUUUUAGACACCAGAAGUAUUAGAUGUGAAAGUUUUUCUUCUCUCUUCAUCUCUCUGCCCCAGGUACUAUAAGCAUGUAAUAUGAGUUGACAGCUACACUGAUGGUUAGUUUAAGAUUUAAGUCAAUAUGUCAUAGCAGGGGAGAAGGUAGGUAACUGGCUGAGUACACCAGAGAAUUAGGGGCAAGAGUCUUCACCUUCAUGGCUGUUCUUCACUCCAAAACAAAAUUCUAAUAAACUGAAAAGGUUGACUGUGUUGCUUGGGCCAUACUGUUGCCUUAGUAUUUGAGCUGUCUGUUUCAGAACUGGUCCCCAAUGAACUUCAAAGUGAUUUGAUGAUUGGUCUAAUGGUCCAUGAAUCCAUUGACGCUCACAGGCAUCUGUAUGACUAAACUAUUUACAUUCUAAGAUACAGGGGAGGCCCUCACUCAUUCUUUGCUUUGUGGGUGAACAGUUCUCCCUCACAUACUGUAGGAACAUGCAUAUCAGUGGAAUGGGGAGUUAUGGCUCUCCCAUUGCUCCAAAUGGUUGGCUCAAAAUAACAUUUCCUAAAUUAGAUUAUCCACACCAAAUGGACAAUGCUGUAACACCGCUCCUGCUGAUAGUAUUGAGUCCUGCAUGUGUGCACUCCGGGAAGUGGUAAGUCUUUUGUAAAAAGACAAAGAUCUUCCAGUUCACUGAGACUAACACAGCAUUCUUUGGAACUUGCAGUUUCCAGACUCCUCUUGCAUCCUGGACAAAGCACUUUUUCAUUGAUGAUGACUCAGUUUUCAACAUUUGUAAAAGUGCACAGAACUGUUUUUUUUUUAGUAAGUGGAAAUCCAAACUAAACUCAUGUUUUAACUGAUUUAAAGUUAAAACUGCAACUAUAAAGAACCGUUUAGCCUAUUUUGGUAAUGCCUGGGCUUACACUGAGUUUUGGAACUUGAUCCAUUUGUGCUAGUAAGAUAUUUUUUGGAGAUUUUGUAAAAGAGUUAGAAAGCUUGUCAAUUUGCAUUUUCCCUGGAUCAGUUUGAGUGCCUUUUAACAACUGGUCAUCAAUCAGAGCUCCAUAAUGAUCUCAAGGUUGCCUUUCUGUAUGUUUUUGUCAUGUGUUUGUCUCCACAGUCAUCUCAGCAUGAGGUAACCUUGCAAAUCUUCAGUCACAAGUCUGCUGGCUUUUAUCAUUUGGUUUGUUUUUGUUCUGAAAGAGACUGGCUCUGGUGCAGCCAACAAGAGAGUCGUGAUUAAAAAAACAACAACAUGCAAAUGAAUGAGGAACAUCAAGCCUGAGAAUGACAGUCCUGCAGUCUUAUUCACAGCAGCAGCUGAGGCUGUAAUCGCUGUGGACAGAAUAGCUUUACAGCAUGUAAUGUGAGUCAUGUUGCUGAAACAGAGAUGGUUUGGAGGUUAUCGCUUUUAUCUUUUUAUAGAUUAGUACAUAUGGCCACAUAUAGUUGUUAUAAGGCUUCUUGUGAAGCUUUAAAAGCUUUGGUAUUUGUUUCUAAAUGUAAUUUGAUUUUGAAGUUUCAUAUGAAUUUUAUUGUAUUAAAGCUCACCUAACUUCUUUGGCUUAAAAAAAAAUACAGUUGGUUGCUGCUCAACAGUUGGCAGGCAUUAUGCCUUUAAUGUGAACCAUAGUAUAAAUCUAAUAUCAACUUUCUUUUUU
RNAcentral lists this long non-coding RNA (3983 nucleotides) under Lepisosteus oculatus (spotted gar). Its description in RNAcentral is "lncRNA (ENSLOCG00000021688.1)". Lineage: Eukaryota; Metazoa; Chordata; Actinopteri; Semionotiformes; Lepisosteidae. The record is from RNAcentral.